GACGAACGCUGGCGGCGUGCUUAACACAUGCAAGUCGAGCGGUAAGGCCCUUUCGGGGGUACACGAGCGGCGAACGGGUGAGUAACACGUGGGUGACCUGCCCUUAGCUCUGGGAUAAGCCUGGGAAACUGGGUCUAAUACCGGAUAUGACUCCAUGACGCAUGUUGUGGGGUGGAAAGCCUUGUGCGGCUAGGGAUGGGCCCGNGGCCUAUCAGCUUGUGGUGGGGUNAUGGCCACAAGGCGACGACGGGUAGCCGGCCUGAGAGGGCGACCGGCCACACUGGGACUGAGACACGGCCCAGACUCCUACGGGAGGCAGCAGUGGGGAAUCUUGCGCAAUGGGCGAAAGCCUGACGCAGCGACGCCGCGUGAGGGAUGACGGCCU
This 385-nucleotide ribosomal RNA is filed under the name uncultured bacterium. RNAcentral's name for it is "bacterial SSU rRNA". It matches the Rfam family "Bacterial small subunit ribosomal RNA", at positions 28 to 417 of the family's 1533-position model. The record is from RNAcentral.